Molecule: unclassified non-coding RNA, 334 nt
Filed under: soil metagenome
Description: partial contains 5.8S ribosomal RNA, internal transcribed spacer 2, and large subunit ribosomal RNA
Rfam family: 5.8S ribosomal RNA (bases 1-120)
Source: RNAcentral
GAUGAAGAACGCAGCGAAAUGCGAUAAGUAGUGUGAAUUGCAGAAUUCAGUGAAUCAUCGAAUCUUUGAACGCACAUUGCGCCCUUUGGUAUUCCUUAGGGCAUGCCUGUUCGAGCGUCAUUUAAACCUUCAAGCUCAGCUUGGUGUUGGGUGACUGUCCGCUUCACCGCGGACUCGCCUCAAAAUUAUUGGCGGCCGGUACAUUGGCUCUCGAGCGCAGCAGAAACGCGUAACUCGAGGUCCUCGUGCUGGCUCCCAAAAGCUAUCUUCACAAUUUUGACCUCGGAUCAGGUAGGGAUACCCGCUGAACUUAAGCAUAUCAAUAAGCGGAGGA